AUUGAACGCUGGCGGCAGGCCUAACACAUGCAAGUCGAGCGGAUGAAGGGAGCUUGCUCCUGGAUUCAGCGGCGGACGGGUGAGUAAUGCCUAGGAAUCUGCCUGGUAGUUGGGGAUAACGUCCGGAAACGGGCGCUAAUACCGCAUACGUCCUGAGGGAGAAAGUGGGGGAUCUUCGGACCUCACGCUAUCAGAUGUGCCUAGGUCGGAUUAGCUAGUCGGUGGGGUAAAGGCCUACCAAGGCGACGAUCCGUAACUGGACUGAGAGGAUGAUCAGUCACACUGGAACUGAGACACGGUCCAGACUCCUACGGGAGGCAGCAGUGGGGAAUAUUGGACAAUGGGCGAAAGCCUGAUCCAGCCAUGCCGCGUGUGUGAAGAAGGUCUUCGGAUUGUAAAGCACUUUUAGUUGGGAAGAAGGGCAGUGAGUUAAUACCUUGCUGUUUUGACGUUACCAACAGAAUAAGCACCGGCUAACUUCGUG
This 484-nucleotide ribosomal RNA is filed under the name uncultured bacterium. Its description in RNAcentral is "partial 16S ribosomal RNA". It matches the Rfam family "Bacterial small subunit ribosomal RNA", at positions 30 to 507 of the family's 1533-position model. The record is from RNAcentral.